GAGAUUAAUGAUGGGUUCUGUACGUCCUCCCCCGUCGAGGCCGGCCCUUUUGUAUAAGAGGGCUGGCGUGAUCUUCUGUUACGAUUCAGCGAGGGAAGUAAGUCUUUUGUUCCGAUUCGGCAACGGAAACGGAUCGAUAAUCUACGAUGAGUAAUCGAUGUGGUGGACUUGUGUAAUAUACGGGAGCUUAGCGUCUUUUUGGCAAAAACGUUCAAUCCCUAUAUGUCCAUCUCUCUUCUCUCGCGCUCCCAACGACGCCGCCGCGGCGCCGCCUCCUCUUCCACCCCGCCAUGGCCGCCGCCUCCGCCUCCUCUUCCAUGUCCCCGCUGGUGCCGCUCCUCUCCAUCUGCACCACUUUGGCACGCCUCCCUCCAUGACCCCAGUGAGAUCACCGCGAACCCUCUCCUUCCACGCGCCGGCGAGCCGCCAUCUCCUCCUCGUCGUCGCUGGAUGGGGCCGAGGAUCUCGAUGACGGGGCGAGGAACACGGUGACCGCGUGCGGAGAUUGGGGAGCAGCUCUCCGGCAGCGACGAGCUCCGCCGCCGGCGUCGCCCCUCCCCUUAAGCUUGGUGGCGGCACGGCGACAGAACUCCUCGAGCUGGCUGCAGCGGCAGCGCAGGUUCGGCCAACCGAUGCCCCCUUCUCCUUGUCGCUGGAUGGGGGUGAGGAGGUCGAUGGUGGCGCGCAGGUGGGUAGGAGCUGGGCGGCAGCUACGAGCUCCGACAACGGCGAGGCGCUCUCCUCCUCCCUUCAAUAUUGUUGCAAUCAAGGAUGUAUGUGAGGAUGGCCGAGCGGUGCACAUUGUGAUGGAGCUCUUCAUUGUUGGUGAGCUCUUGGACAAGAUUCAGGAGGAGGGGCAUUAUAACGAGCGAAAGGCUGCAGAGAUUAAAGACGAUGGUCUGUCAAUUAAGGCGAUAGACAUCCGUAGGCUGCAGAGAUUAAAGACGAUGGUCUGUCAAUUAAGGCGAUAGACAUCCGUGUUCUUCAAACCAGGUCAGGUUUCACCGAGUUGAUUGGGAGUCCAUAUUAUGUUGCUCCCGAGGUACUGCACAGAUAUGUUAUAGACCAGAAUCUUAGGUACUGCACUUAUGGACCAAAAUCUGAUGUGUGGUCAGCUACAGUGGUACUUAACGUUUUGAUGAGUGGAGUGCCACCAUUUUGGGCAGAGACACAACAAGGAAAAUAUUUGAUGCAGUUCUGAAGGGUCUCAUUGAUUUUCAAUCAGUUCUAAAGAUAUCUGACAAUGAGAAGUAUCAUAUAGGGAAAAUGCUCUCUCAAUAUUCUUCAGAGCAUUUGAACUUUGAAGGGCCAUGAAGUGCUAACUGCUAAGCUGAAGUUAGUGAAGAUAGAUCCAAAGCCUAUAAUGCUGCUGAUCUUGGAGAGGUGAGAGAAAGUGAAGGAUUUUUCUUUCUGAAUGGCUUCCAGGUUGCUCUUGAGUUUCUCUGCAAAGAGGAUCGCUAUAAUGUUAUUGAUGUUAAGGAAGUUGUGCUUAGUGUUAUUGAGAGCACACCAGUUCUCCACCUGAUUGAUCCAAAACGGAUCAAGUUCCUGGCAGAAAACCUUGCCGGCAAAGAAAGUUAGUCUGGGACAUGCUGAUUUGCUAUCAUGUUAAAUAUAUGUAUUUAUUGUGCAAAAAGCUAUAUGCAUUUCUCAAAGUGCAUAAUCUAGCUUUUUUCUUUUCUGACGUAAA
This is a long non-coding RNA of Oryza sativa Japonica Group (Japanese rice), 1690 nucleotides long. RefSeq lists it as uncharacterized. The record is from RefSeq and is a predicted model, not a curated record. Lineage: Eukaryota; Viridiplantae; Streptophyta; Magnoliopsida; Poales; Poaceae.